UACGGAGGGUGCGAGCGUUGUCCGGAAUCACUGGGCGUAAAGGGCGCGUAGGCGGCUGGGGAAGUCGGCGGUGAAAGCCCGGAGCUCAACUCCGGGUCGGCCGUCGAGACUCCUCGGCUCGAGCUCACUAGAGGCAGAUGGAAUUCCGGGUGUAGCGGUGGAAUGCGUAGAGAUCCGGAAGAACACCGGUGGCGAAGGCGGCUCUCUGGAACGGUACUGACGCUGAGACGCGAAAGCGUGGGGAGCGAACAGG
RNAcentral lists this ribosomal RNA (253 nucleotides) under uncultured bacterium. Its description in RNAcentral is "partial 16S ribosomal RNA". It matches the Rfam family "Bacterial small subunit ribosomal RNA", at positions 524 to 776 of the family's 1533-position model. The record is from RNAcentral.